RNAcentral lists this ribosomal RNA (482 nucleotides) under uncultured bacterium. RNAcentral describes it as "bacterial SSU rRNA". It matches the Rfam family "Bacterial small subunit ribosomal RNA", at positions 27 to 507 of the family's 1533-position model. The record is from RNAcentral.
GGAUGAACGCUAGCGGCAGGCCUAAUACAUGACAAGUCGAACGGUAAAUGUCCCUUCGGGGGCAUGAGAGUGGCGCACGGGUGCGUAACGCGUAUGCAACCUACCAAUGCUGGAGGAUAGCCCGGAGAAAUUCGGAUUAACCCUUCAUGAGGAGCUUUGGAGGCAUCUUCGAGGUUUCAAAUAUUCAUAGGCGUUGGAUGGGCAUGCGUGCUAUUAGAUAGUUGGCGGGAUAACGGCCCACCAAGUCGACGAUAGCUAGGGGAUCUGAGAGGACGGUCCCCCACACUGGUACUGAGACACGGACCAGACUCCUACGGGAGGCAGCAGUAAGGAAUAUUGGGCAAUGGAGGCAACUCUGACCCAGCCAUGCCGCGUGAAGGAUGGAGGCCCUACGGGUCGUAAACUUCUUUUGUCAGGGAAUAAAGUCAUCCACGUGUGGGUGUUUGCAGGUACCUGAAGAAUAAGCAUCGGCUAACUCCGUG